CAAGACGAUCCGGUAGCGUAUUUUUUAUACCAGAUACAGGUCAUAAACCUUGAAAACUUGAGGUAAGACCUCAUUUAAUCUCCAGUAGCAUUAUGACCUUAAUGGGAGGAAUUAUGCGUCUGGAUCGUCUUAC
RNAcentral lists this non-coding RNA (133 nucleotides) under Duffyella gerundensis. RNAcentral describes it as "Erwinia gerundensis Yersinia sRNA 155(RyfD)". It matches the Rfam family "Yersinia sRNA 155(RyfD)". The record is from Rfam by way of RNAcentral. Lineage: Bacteria; Pseudomonadati; Pseudomonadota; Gammaproteobacteria; Enterobacterales; Erwiniaceae.